Molecule: long non-coding RNA, 10465 nt
Filed under: Musa acuminata (dwarf banana)
Lineage: Eukaryota; Viridiplantae; Streptophyta; Magnoliopsida; Zingiberales; Musaceae
Description: long non-coding RNA (MACU_LNC002585)
Source: RNAcentral
GCCAUUCCCACGGCGUUCAUGUUCAUCUCCUGCGUGCUCUUCUUCGUCGGGACCAAGAUCUACGUGAAGGUGCGGCCGGAGGGCAGCCCGAUCACCAGCAUCGCCCAGGUGCUGGUGGCGGCGUUCAGGAAGCGAGCGCUGAAGCUACCUGAUGACCUCAAGGGCUCUCUUUUUGACCCUCCACAUAUCAGUUCUCUGAUCUCCAAGCUGCCGCACACCGACCAGUUCAGGUACUUGGGAGCACAAGAAGUGAGAUUUCAACUCAGAAGAACACACCAAACCUAUAUUUUGAUGGCAUAAGAUGAUCUAAUAAAUUAGUGGAACAAUUUUAAUUAACCUCAAUCCAUUUGUAACACUUCCUUCGAAGUUGAUAACAUCCAAACUAUUGCAUUCCAAAGCUACUACAAUUUGCUUCAUGAGGUUUAUAAUAAAACUAUCACUAAGUUUACUAUAUUCUAAGAAAAAUAAAGUUAUCAACUUGAUAUGUUCAACUAUCACUACUACACGUGAAUUUUUUUUGCUUUUUGCUUACAAUUGCAGUUUUCUUGACAAAGCUGCGAUCAUAACCCCCAUGGACGAUAUCAAACCGGAUGGCUCAGCUUCAGAUGGAUGGAGAUUAUGUAGCUUACAGCAAGUGGAACAGAUGAAAUGUUUAGUAAGAAUCAUCCCUGUUUGGUCUUCAUGUAUCAUCUUCGAGGUUACCGUCGUUCUGACAUGGACUUACGUCGUCUUCCAAGCCCUUCAAUCCGAUAGACAUCUCGGGCACAGUAACUUUGAGAUUCCUGCUGCAACUUUUACUGUGUUCGCCAUGGCGGCCAUGACCAUUUGGUUGCUUGUUUACGACCGUUUCGUCGUCCGAUUGCUUCAGAGGGUUACUGGAAAGGAAGGUGGCAUCACGCUGCUUCAAAGGAUGGGGACUGGCAUUGCUCUUUCGGUCGUGAUGAUGAUUGUCGGUGGCUUGGUAGAGGAACGGCGGCGGAGUUAUGCGCUUCACAAGCCGACACUGGGGACUGCAUCCAAUGGUGGUGCCAUUUCAUCAAUGUCCAGCCUCUGGUUGAUCCCUCAGCUCGUUAUUGCUGGUCUUUCGGAUGCUUUCAACCUCGUCGGCCAAGUUGAGUUCUACUACAAGCAAUUUCCCGAAAACAUGAGGAGCAUGGCAGGGGGUCUGCUCUUCCUGGGUUUUGCAUGUUCCAACUAUCUGGGCACCUUGAUAAUAACUAUCGUCCAUCGAACAACUGGUGGACAUCAGAAGAGCAAUUGGUUAGCAGAAGAUCUUAACCAGGGAAGACUAGAUCUUCUCUACUUCUCGAUCGCAUCAUUAUCUGCCGUUAAUUUGGUCUUCUUCAUUGUAUGUGCAAAGUGGUACAAAUACAAAACCUCAGACAAAGACCAUGAGAUUGCUCUGCAAACAAAGGAGAUCAGAAGUUCUGUAUGAGCAAGUAUCUGAUGCACUGGAUCUUUACAGUGCACAAGAAUAAAGAACAAGGAUAUGGAAUCAGGUUUCAUCAGAAGAGAAGUAACAGUUCUGUUAAUCAUGCCUUUUCCUAUGUACUGUUGAUUCCUCUUUUUUCUUUUUAUUACUAUUUGAAGCUGCAAAACUUUUAUAAGAGCAGAAUGCUGUUCAUGGUAGAUGCACAAACAGUGGUUCACCCUCUCUACAUGUUAUAUAUGCUAAUAUCAGAUAAUUUCCAUUGUGAAACUUUUUGUGCUCAUUGAUAUCUAUUUUGAACUCAGCUGAUAAGUCGCUUGAUAAACCUAACAUACUCCAAGAAAUAGGCAUUAUUUAUAUUGCUGUGCCGAGUAGUUUGCCCAGAUAGGCCUGCUUCUAAGACUAAAAGAUCUUCACCAAGGUAAAGUGGGAUAGAUCAUGCAGAUACAUGCAGUGUAUCAAAGAUAAAGCUGUGUAACUCUUAAUUGGUGUCAGUCUAGCCUGCCUUCAAUUGGUUUUAACCUCAAAUUAUGACAUAAAAGUAAGCACCCAUCAUAUAUAUGCAAGUAAGAUGAGCAUCCUAUCCCCAGAUCUCACAUUGGCAGGAGCCUCAUGCACCGCUCCGGGUAUGUCCUUUUCUUUUACAAAUCAUCUGCUAAUACGAAAAGUCAUCACUAAGUUGUAAGUCGAUGAACCUGUACCAUUUAUGUGCCAGACGACUCUGAAUAUGAGCACAACCCACAUCGGCACUGCAAUCCUGAUCAAACAGGUGAUGCUAUUUUUUACCAUCUUAUAUACAAUAUUAAUUGUGAAGCUUUCCUCUAUAUUCUGAUAACAGCUCUAUAAAGUCAGAAAAAAGGAUUCAUGUGAAGAAGUGUUAGUUUGAAUAAGCACAUGGAACUAAGCAUCCAAUGAUUGAUUUGAUUGCUCUGAGUAAUGAUGGGGAUAUAACAGGAAUAACCUUUGUAUAUGAACAAAUACUAGAAGACCAUAAUACGCAGCAGAAUUAAAUAUAAGCACAAUCAAACAGAACACCAAGAUAUACGUGAAAAACCCCUUCAAUGUGAAGGGUAAAAACCACGGGGCAAACUAGAUAUAAUCCAUUAUGAGAAUAAUGAAUAUACAAAUCUCAAUCUCUUGCCCUAAACCCUAGCAACAAUCACAAGAGAACAACUAGGAUACAAGGAUCACGUCACUGUCCACGAUAUCUAAAACCUCCCCAAGUAAUCACAGCAAGAGUCUACUGUAGAUUUGAUCUAACCUGAGAUGAGCACACUACUAGAUGAUUGAGAACAACCUCUCUACAUUGUCCUUGUCUUCUUCCCUUUCUUUCUCUUCUUUUUCUACCUUGUUUUCCUCUUUUUCUUUAGAAUCUCAUGACUGUUUUUCUUCUCUCACGUUGCUACCCUAUUUAUGCCUUUUUCUACCUUCAAAACGCAGCCACCACACCCCCUAAUGUUAAUUAGGGUUAGGUUAAGAGGGGGUGUGGGCUGUGGGCUGCCUAAGCCCACUAUGAGCUGAAUCUGUGGACUGUCAGCCCAACAAGUAAGUAUCGAUGCACAAGAGCUCUUCCGACAGUGAAGAAGUUAGCUUCAAAAUGAAGUUUGGCGAGAGAAGAAUCACCAGUAUAGGAGAAUUCCUUCCUUCCAAGACCAGGAAGCUGACCAGCGAGUAGUAGUGUUUCUGAAUUCUUGCGAGCUUCAUGCUCAGAAAAGAACCGGAGGAUAAGCGUGAAUGAACUCAGAGGAUGUCUUAGAAUACCAUUUGAUGACAGCAUCAGAUAUUUCUGAAUCAGAUGCGAGCUGAAACUCUCUUCCAAACCCUUAUCCUCUAACAAUUUGGAGACAAAUGAUCUGAUACCAUGACGACCAAGAAUCAAAUGUGAGCAUCAAAUGACUUCAGAAACAGAUACGAAGUGGAAGUAUCAAGUUUUUUAUAUUGAUUAAUAUUUAAUAAUUAUUAUAAUUAUUUAUUUAUUAUUAUUAAAUUAUUUCUGCAUAAAUUAGAUUAAAGAAUAUUUGGUGAAUAUAAUUUAUAAUUUAUAUUCCAAUGUUUUAUCUAACUAGUAAUUAUCAAAAUAGCUUAAGAUGAUAGAAUUAUUAGAUAUAAAUUAUAAUAAAUAUUUUAUUAUUUAUAAGAUAUUUUAAAGUAUAUUUUAAAUUAUUGUAUUGGUUUUGUGACCACUAAAGUGGUCUAGACUAAUAACUUAUAAAAUUAUAUCAAAAAUUAGUUCUCAAUGAUAUUAAGAAAAAUAAUAUUCAUAAUGACAUAAGAGAUUUAGAUAAUUCUAAAGGAGAAUCUACUUUGAAUAGUUAUAUGAUACGAUAGGAUUAUACUAUUUUGGAUAUCUUUACAGUUUAGGGUUGCAUACCGAAAGAUAAUAAUACUAUUCUAUAAUAAUGGUAUCAAUCCUUCGUAACGAUAAAAUCUUGUAUGAAUAUUAGAUAUAUCAAUAUCUCACCUAAACAUAAAAUAGAAAUUAUAUUAAAAAUACAACAUCUAUCGAAAAACUUAAAAGUAUUAAUAUUAUAUUAUUUUAUUAAAAUGAUACUUCAUUAAUUGCAUUCUUACAAACGUUCGUAUAUUUUCUAAAUUAAAUUAUUAUGACUUAAGUAUGUACAAUUUAUACUAAGAGUUAGAUAUUAACCUUUUUGUUGAAAGCAUCGUAACUUAAACACUAAAAAUUAUGUGAGAUAAAUAAUUGAAUUAUUGAAAAGGGGCUGAAAGGUUUAGUUUUAAUAAUUAUUAAUAAUAUUUAGACUUUAUUACAUAAUAUAACUAGCACAUUAAAAUAUUAAAAAAUUGAUCUAAAAUUACUAAUAAGUCAGUAUCUUAAUAAAAGAACUAACUAUAGCUUAGUAUCAUAGUAUUUGAGGAUUUCUAAGAUAUAUCCUUGUUAUGAUUGAUAAAACUACAAAACUUAAGGAAUUUAUAUUGAAGAACUAUUUUUAGGUAUUUUUAUUAUUUAUGCAGAAAAAUUCAAAGGGAUAUAAAUUUUAUUGUCCUAGUUAUAAUAUUAGGAUAGUUGAAUCUAAUAAUAUAAGAUUCUUAGACAAUAGUGAAUCAAUGAGAGUGAAAAUUUUAAAAUUUAAUCUUGAUAAGGAGAUCCUUUAUCAUUUUAUAUUUGAGAAGUUGUUCCUCAAAAUAUUAUAUAUAUAUAUAUAUAUAUAUGAAUCAUAUUAUAAUAUAGGAAUCAAAAGGAUCCCUUAUUGUUUUCACAAAUUAUGAAAAGUGAUAAUUCUGAAAAAUAGUAUGAUGCAAUAAAAAAAAAGUUAAAAUCGAUAGAUUAGAAUGAUGUUUGAGAAUUCAUCGAAUUGUCUAAUAAUUAUAAAAGAAUCGUCAGUCUUUAAGAUAAAACAUAACUCAAAAGGGAAACAUUGAAUAUAUAGAGUCGGAUUUAUGGCUAAGGUUUUACUCAGUUUAUCUAAUGGACUCGUUAGGAAUCAUUAUUACAUUAGUGACAUAUUAUGCUUUUGAGUUACAGAUGUAAAGUUAAUUUUUUUGAAAGAAAUCUAGAUAAGAAAAUUUAUAUGGAUUUACCAAAAUAAUUUACAGAGAAAAAAAUAUAAAAUUUGGUAUGUAAAUUUAGAAAAUUUAUUUAUAAUCAUAGUAUAUAAAGUUUCAUGAUACCAUUAGCUUCUUCAUAUUUAAAAAAAAUACUGAUGACCAUACUUUAUAUAUGAAGAUUAUUGUGAGCAAACUUGUUAUAUUGGUCAUGUAUGUAAAUGAUAUUUUGUUUAUUAAUUGUGAUAUUUAUUUAUUACACGAAACAAAUAAAUUUCUUAUCAAAAAUUUUAAGAUGAUUGAUAUAAUUGAGAAAACUUAUCUUAUUGACAUAAAGAUAUUUAAAGAUAUCUUAAUACUUAUUAAGAUGGUAUUAUAAAUAAUUUAUUAAUUGAGUCUUGAAGAGAUUUAAUAUGUAGUUUUGUUUAGCAAAGGACAUAUGUGUAAUAUUCAAUCAAAACCAUUGUUUUCUAAAAUUAACUUAGAAAAGAAUCAAAUAGAGUAAUAAAUAAAAGAAAAUAUUACUUAUGCAUACACAAUUGGAAUCUAUUAUAUACUAAAGUCUAUCUCAAAUCAUAUAUCAGUUUUGUAGUUGGAAUACUAUGUAAAUAUUAGAGUUAAACAUGAUAUGAAAUAUUGAAAAGUUAUAAAGAAAGUAAUAAGAAAUCUACGAGGGACGAAAGACUAUAUGCUUAUGUGAAAUCAAAUUAACUUAAAAUACUUAUAUUUUCAUAUACUAAUUUUAUAAAUUACCUCGAUAGCAAGAAGUUCACUUCCUAAAUAAUAUAACAUAAAUUAGAAGGGCAAUUUGCAAGAAUAAUAUAAUAUAAAUUAUAUUAUCAAUUGUAAAAGCUGACUUCAUGACAUGCUUUCAGGUCAUUAGUUAAGCUUUAUAACUAUGAAAUUUCAUCUGAAAACUUGGUGUGGUUAUACUCGAUUACCAAGUCAUUAAAGAUAUUUUGUGAUAUACCACAAUAAAUUUUUUUCUCUAAGAAUGACAAGUACUAUAGAAGUUCUAAACAUGUUGAAAUAAAAUACUCGGUGGUCAAAAAAUGAGUACAAUAACAACUAGUGUGAAUUAAGAAUAUGAGUUCCACUAUAUUGAUUAUCGAUCCAUUUAUUUUGAUCUUACUACCUAAAGUAUUUUAAAAAAUAAUCUUAUAAUUUAGUUUGUAGGUAAAUUAUAAAAAAAUUAGUGAUGCAUAUUUAAGUGAACAUUAUAAUUCAUAUUUUUGUUUACAUAAUUAAAAUUAUUUAUUUUUACUAUCUUAUUAACAUUUAUAUAUGUAUAUAUUUUGGUUAAAUAUGAAUAAUAGGAUUGUCUUAAUAAGAUAAAUUGUAAAGAUAAUUAUAGACUAUUAUAGGAAAGACAAACAAUGUUGUAGUAUAAGAGAGUAUAAUAUUAAUGACAUAGAACCACUAUAACUCAUAUUAGUAAAUAGAUUUAAUGAAGUAUUAUUGUAUCUUUUGGACUUAUUGACUUAUUUUAAAAAUUCAUGACUAUGUAUAAAAUACUUUUUAUAAUUUUUAGAAUUUAAUUAUGUAAAAUUAUUUUAAAAUAAAAUUUUAUUUUAUUUAUUUUAAUUUUAAAUUUUAUUAUAGCUUACCAAUUAAUGGGCUAAAUGAAAGAAUUUAGAUUAUACGAUUUUAUCUAAUUAGAUAAAAUAUAUUAUAGAUCUGAUUGAAUUAUGAUUACAAUCAUCAUUAGAAAGUUCAAUUAUAGUAAGAUUCCUUAGGAUAUCGCCUUAAUGGAAGGAACUCGCGUAAUUACAUCAUAGACCCUUUAUUUUUACCUAUAAAUAGAUAGGAUCUCCUAUGGACUAAACAUCAGAAAUUGAGAGUAUAAAUUUAUUCUCAAUCUCCAAGAUCUAUUCUCAAUCUCCCUAAGUUUCUAUUCCAUUGUAGUAAUCCUGAGAAACACAUAAGAAGAAAGGAGAUCAUGUGUUUAUAAUCAGAUAAAUAUGUUUUUGAAUGACAUUGAAUGGUAGGCACAUCUUGACCUUAAUAUAUUUUUUAAUUAAUUUUUUUAUAUAAUAAUAAUAUAAUUAUAAAUUUUAUGCUUAUAUUCUUUGCUUAUCUAUCCCUUUGUUUGAGAUCUAAUAUUUAGAGGUGUGACCCUCACCUUUGUAGACACCUUUCCAUAGAUCUUGAUUCAGCGGAGGCAAUGCAUCCUUUUAUUCCAUAAAAUGAUUAUAUAACAAGUUAUAUCUUACUCAGAACUGUCUUAUAAACCUUAGAUCAAUGUGAAAUGGUGUAAAUCUGCAGAAAAUGUAACUACUGGUCUAACCUCAAUCGUCCAUGUUUACACUCCUACCCGAAUGCUUUAAUCAUCCAAGCUAGUGGACUUUGGCACCUCUGUAAACCUUAAACAUACAAAAGGGUAACUCUCUGUUUCUCAAAACCAUCCAUUAUUUCAUAUAUAUUCGAUUUAGAAGUAUAGAGAAAUAUUCAGACACCUAAGUUCAGUCUUCACGUCGACAUCAACUGAAUGAAUUAUAGAAUGUGAGUGCGUCAUCUACUGACAUUAACUUGAACCGAAACAUUUUGAAUUAAUAAUUUAUAGCAAUCCACAGUGUUUUAGGUUGCCUGUCUUGGAUCCAUCUGAACUCUGCACUCAACUCGAAGUGUAUGAUUGUAAGAUUAGAGCGGCUUUAAUUGCUGUGCCAUCACUGCUACAUCGUUGAUUUUUUAGCAGCAGGAAUCUCGAUCUUGAAAUCCAAGCAAACAAACAAGGAAUUGUAAUCUCCUCCUCGUUUCCCACUCGAAGAAGGUGGUGAAAAGAUGCAUAAACACACGAUGGGUAUAUAUAUGCGGUCUUCCUCACAGAAACAAACAACCACGGGUCUCGGCGUCAUCUCCAUCAAGAUGGUCUGUGUGUUCAACACAGUCACGUCGCCUCCCCCUGCUUUCCUAUUCCUCCUCCUCCUCCAUUGAAAGAACACAUAUCGAACACAAGACCUGCUUUCCUUUUUCUCCUCCAUUGAAAGGUCACAUAUCGAACACAAGGAGGACAUCUCACACUAAUAGACUGUUGGGUGUUCUGAUUUCUGCAAAGUCGAUAGAAUGUGGACAUAAAUGAAAUUUGGAGGUUUGUGGAAAGAGGAUGGCAUCCAGCACAACGAUGGCUGGGUUUCCAAUGGAUUUAUCCUUGAAGAACAUCAACGUGGAAAAGCAAGAAGAAAGAAGAAGAAGAUGGUUGGCACCCAUUCUGGACCGAUUAAGAUAUAAGACAUUCUUUACAUGCUUUCAGGAGUCAAAAGAUUCUCAUAAGGAGAGAGAGAGAGAGAGAGAGAAAGAAGAAGCCCCAAUAAGACAAGUCCCAAGUGACCAAACCACUUCCCUCCAAUGAUAAUCUCUAUUUGAUUUCUUAUGUGGGAGUCUAAAUCACUGCUCAUAAGAGAGUGUAUAUAGUUGGAGUUAGGAAUGCCUCGUCGUAAGCAUUCCAUGCAUCCAAUACUAAUCAUACGAGAGACUACGAGCACGUUGAUUGUAUGUGACAUUCUCGUAGUGUCAUUCCUAAAAAUAUUAUUAGAAGAUAAAGAGAUUAAAAAAAUUAAGAGAAUAAUUUUACAUUGAUAAAUAUCAGCUUAAGUUCUUAAAUUAAAUUAAUAUUUAACUUGAUAUAUAUAUAUAUAUAUAUAUUAAUGUUGAUUAAUUUAAUUCACUCAUCAUUCAUGCAUUUGUAAGAAAGAUUUUCCUCUCCUAUAUGUUUAGAUUCUGCAACCUACAAGUCAGAUAAAUACUUCGUGUAGGGGGUUGGAUCCCACUUUCGUCCCUUUCUCCAUCUUAACGGUGUUCAUGCUCGCUGGUACUGGUUAUACUUACUAGUAGACUGCUUUGAACGGUACUCCGUUUUUGUGUGGUCGAUCUAGGCCCUCUCUCUCCACACUGUGCAGGCUCACGAACGAUGUAGAGCUUGUAUUCACUAUAUCUAACUCUCGGUCUCUUCUAUUCAUCAGAAGAGAGAGGAGAAGGGAACGCGAAGCAUGACGACGUCGACGCCGGAGGAACCACAGAAUGGGGAAGCAGCGAAGCCUGUGAUCAACUACAGAGGGUGGAAAGCCAUGCCAUACGUGAUAGGUACGUGGAACACAUGCUCUCCCUCCACCUUCGCCCACGCACCACUUGACAUCUCACGAGAAGGAGAAUUCUGGGCAGGAAACGAGGCGUUUGAGAAGCUGGGGACGUUCGGCACCUCCGCCAACCUCUUGGUCUACCUCACCACCGUCUUCCACAUGAAGAGCGUCGCGUCGGCCACCCUCGUCACCGUGUUCAACGGCACCACCAACCUCGCCUCCCUCCUCGGGGCCUUCCUCGCCGACACCUAUCUCGGCCGCUACGCCACACUGGGGGCCGCUUCGAUUGCUUCUCUCUUGGUAUGCUACCACGGUGAAGUGCUGCCAUUCUCUCUCACUAGCUCUUCUCGUCUUCUUCGUAUGUGUUUGAUGAAAUGCCAACCAAAUAAAACUCCCAGAGAGUAAGCUGAAGAUGAACUUGCGUUCUGACAGUCUACUGACACGCAUUAGAGAAAGAAAAGGAGAGAAACAUUUAGAAAUAGACUAUGCACUGACAAAAAGGGAACAAAAAGUAAAAAUAAAUAAGAUCAAAAUUGAAGCCACCACCAGAUAUUAGAUUAAAAAAAAACAUGAAACAGCUAUUUUAUCAAACACUUGAAGAGACACACCACCGAGAGUAGCAAGAAAUUUGCUGGUCUUUUUGUUUACAUGCAAGAGGUAACAAGUCGUAUGUGAGCUAAAAUGAUAGGGCCCAAUAUACUAACGCAUGAUAAAUAUGAUGUAAGCCUUCGUGACAAAAAGUACACAGAGAGACAUAUCAGCACAUGUUAGCCAUUAUUGAAAGCCAGUAAAGCUGUUCCAGGGACAGUCAGGCUUGUGGAUCGACAUACUCCAAUUAUUGAUAGUAAGCCUAUCAGAUUGCUGUCUUCUAAUCCUAUGUGUCCAUGAUGAUUGAUGAUGUUGAAGGGCAUGCUCAUUCUCACACUCACGGCUGCCGUCUCCAAGCUUCACCCUCCUCCCUGCAGCAGUCAUGGCGACGCAUGCCACGGCGCGAACCCAACUCAGCUGGCCGUACUCUUCGCCAGCUACGUCUUCAUGGUCAUCGGAGCCGGCGGCAUACGCCCCUGCAACCUGGCGUUCGGCGCCGACCAGUUCGACCCCACCACCGAGGCGGGGAAGCGCGGCAUCGCUAGCUUCUUCAACUGGUACUACAUGACCUUCACCUUCGCCAUGAUGGCCUCCUCCACCCUCGUCAUCUACGUGCAGAGCAACGUGAGCUGGUCGCUGGGGCUGGCCAUUCCCACGGCGUUCAUGUUCAUCUCCUGCGUGCUCUUCUUCGUCGGGACCAAGAUCUACGUGAAGGUGCGGCCGGAGGGCAGCCCGAUCACCAGCGUCGCCCAGGUGCUGGUGGCGGCGUUCAGGAAGCGAGCGCUGAAGCUACCUGAUGACCUCAAGGGGUCUCUUUGUGACCCUCCACAUCUCAGUUCUCUGGUCUCCAAGCUGCCACACACCGACC